GCCCGCAGCUGCCCUCCUUCAGUCCUCCAUCCUCUCACGCCCCCUCCCGCACAGCCCCCUCCCGCACAGCCCCCUCCAUGCUUCCUCCUCAUCACCGUAGCCGCCGCAUUCCUCCCUCUUCCUCUUCCUCAUCACCACAGCCGCUCUAGUCGUGGCGAAUCUGACGCCUGCAGGCAGACGCAACAGGAGUUCGUGGAGCGGCGGAUGCAGACGGGGUCGUUGACGGAGCUGCAGGAGCAAGGAGCUCGAGUUGGUGCGCCAUGAGGAGUGGAAGGCCGAGUUCGUGCGACGACCAGAGCAACAGGAGCAAGGAGCCUCCUCUCUCUCCCUCUCAGUGGUUGAGGACUUCCUCAAGAAGAAAGAAGAAGGCCAAAUAGAAGAAGAAUUUGGCUCAAAGGUCUUGCGGAGAGUGCAUAAUGUCCCCUCAGGUUUGAAUUGCUCUGAAGUUAUCAUGGCAUUUCCUUAUAGGGCUUGUUCACAUUUAUUCAUGGAAGGUGAACUACCUGUUUCAAGAUUGUAACCCACCUAAAAAAUCCCUUCUGCCUUCCUGUUUUUGUUUGUGUAUGUCGCUCUGUAAAGAUUGGUCAGCCUGACCAUGAAAGGGUGCUUCAGAUUAGAAAAGAAUGGUUUUUCUUUGUGUAAUUUUCAGGACAAAGGAGGCUGUGGAGGAACUCAUAAAUGCCGUGCUAAAUUAUUAAUUAGCCGUAUUCUUGAUUUUUCAUUUUUUAAAGAUAAUUGAGUAACAAGUCAUGUAGAGUUACUACCGUAUUAGUAUAUUUCUAACUGCA
Molecule: long non-coding RNA, 788 nt
Organism: Triticum dicoccoides
Lineage: Eukaryota; Viridiplantae; Streptophyta; Magnoliopsida; Poales; Poaceae
Exons: 3
Source: RefSeq, a predicted model, not a curated record